RNAcentral lists this non-coding RNA (23 nucleotides) under Rattus norvegicus (Norway rat). Lineage: Eukaryota; Metazoa; Chordata; Mammalia; Rodentia; Muridae. The record is from RNAcentral.
UGACCUUAAGUGGAGGUCUUGGG